CCAGCAGAACAACGGCACGACGGGGGGCGUCCAGCAGAACAACGGCACGACGGGGGGCGUCCAGCAUGAGCACAAAGUACUCCUGGAUACCCAUAAAGUAGACGACUAGAUGUUGAACGGGACGAGGAAAAGUUGAACGGGACGAUGAGCGACGAGGAAAAGUUGAACGGGACGAUGAGCGACGAGGAAAAGUUCAAUGGGACGAUGAAAAGUAAAAGUUUCAACGGGACGAUGAGCGAUGAGCAGUUGUUGAACGGGACGAUGAGCGACGAGGAAAAGUUCAAUGGGACGAUGAAAAGUAAAAGUUCAACGGGACGAUGAGCGAGGAGAUAUUCAAUACUGCAUAGAUUCAUCUCGUAUAUUUCGACUGCCUUGGAGAGCUUGAUAUCGGAGACGUUAUCUUAGCAAUAUAAUAAAACGUCUAUACAUUUCUUAAAUAACAGCGUGUCAAUCCAAUGUUUGUAUUGCAAUGCUUGGCUCUUAUCAUGCAUACAUCUUCCCUUAACAGUCCAAUAAAAGCUCAUCUGGAC
Gymnodraco acuticeps is the source of this 530-nucleotide long non-coding RNA. RefSeq lists it as uncharacterized. The record is from RefSeq and is a predicted model, not a curated record. The transcript is spliced from 2 exons. Lineage: Eukaryota; Metazoa; Chordata; Actinopteri; Perciformes; Bathydraconidae.